UCCGUGUUAACCACGGCAGUCUCUCUAGAGUGCCCAACUGAAUGCUGGCAACUAAAGACAAGGGUUGCGCUCGUUGCGGGACUUAACCCAACAUGUCACCACACGAGCUGACGACAGCCAUGCAGCACCUGUCUCCCGGCUGUAUUGCUACAGAAGCCGUAUUUCUACGGAUGUCCGGGGAUGUCAAACCCAGGUAAGGUUUUGCGCGUUGCUUCGAAUUAAACCACAUGAUCCACCGCUUGUGCGGGCCCCCGUCAAUUCCUUUGAGUUUUAAUCUUGCGACCGUACUCCCCAGGCGGAUGACUUCACGCGCUAGCUGCGUUACUAAAGGAUUUAACUCCUCCAACAACUAGUCAUCAUCGUUUAGGGCGUGGACUAC
Molecule: unclassified non-coding RNA, 379 nt
Filed under: uncultured Pseudomonadota bacterium
Lineage: Bacteria; Pseudomonadati; Pseudomonadota
Description: uncultured proteobacterium contains 16S-23S intergenic spacer region
Source: RNAcentral